Molecule: non-coding RNA, 738 nt
Organism: Pelobates cultripes (western spadefoot toad)
Lineage: Eukaryota; Metazoa; Chordata; Amphibia; Anura; Pelobatidae
Source: the annotation of a GenBank genome assembly
UAAAAGGGUACCCAUGGUACCAUAAUAAUUAUAGUGACAUGUAGUGAUUUUGGUGUUUGGAAUGUUCCUUUUAAUUAUUUCUUGAAUAAACCUUGCUGUGUCAGUUGUUUCUCUCUUUCAAACUAAGUUGCAUUAUCAUUUUGCAAAAGUAUCAAGAAAUUUAGAAUCUGUUAGAAUUAAAUAAAUAAUAAUGACAAGAAUAUAUCUGUUACGCAUCUACAACCACCAAAAAACACCAAUGCUAAAUAGUAUCUAAAUUUUGUCCUGAGUUUAGAAAUACCCAAUGUUAACAUGUUCAAAGCUUUUUUUGCAAGUUAUAGGGCAAUCAGUACAAGUAGCACUUUGCUAUUUCCAAACCAUUUUUUUCUUCAAAAUUAACGCGUUACAUUGUAACACUGAUAUCUGUCAGGAAUACCUAAGGUAUUAAUCUUGGGGUAUUUUGACUCUUUUUGUGCUCUUUUCAUGCAACCAUUAUACCACCAAUCUAUGCCAAAUGUAAAAAAAUAAAAAAUAAUCGGUGAUUUUCUUGACACAUAGCAUUUUAAGAAUACAUGUACUGAAAUCUUUAAGGGUUACUGCAAAAGAACACCCCAAUAUGUGUUCAGCAACAGAACAAUAUGUGUUCUGCUUUAAGCUCCAUCUGAGCAGCUGGUGGGUCAGGUGUGGUUUGAGGACUCCUGCCAGUCCGGCUAGGUACAGGAAACAAAAGCUCCUGUACCGCGUACCGGACCGUAGAUC